GUAAAUAUAGUUUAACCAAAACACUAGAUUGUGAUUCUAAUAUUAGAAGGACAAAACUUCUUAUUUACC
Molecule: transfer RNA, 69 nt
Filed under: Callistomys pictus (painted tree-rat)
Lineage: Eukaryota; Metazoa; Chordata; Mammalia; Rodentia; Echimyidae
Description: tRNA-His
Rfam family: tRNA
About the family: Transfer RNA (tRNA) molecules are approximately 80 nucleotides in length. Their secondary structure includes four short double-helical elements and three loops (D, anti-codon, and T loops).
Source: RNAcentral